GGUGUGUGGGGGCCAUGCGGGAUUAAAUUAGGCACACAGGGGCUUAUGGGAACCGAAGGACAGCGCAGGCACUGAUACCACACAGCUCACCUGAGCGAGCGUGUCCUUGAGAGAUAGGAGUCUGUAAUCCCUGUGCCUCCGCUGGGAACGCCGGGAAUGCGCCGUGAAUUCAUGCAUCAGGCUUAAGGUCACACUCGCUCACUCCAGUCAAUGCUGGAUUUGCUGUAUGUGCAUCUACAUGCACAAGUGAAGUGACUGACAGAACUAGCCUUCCUGUGCUCCCCUGGGCGAGGAGGAAACUUUGGGGCCGAAGCGAUUGCUGCCGUUUGAAGCCGCCGGGCCCUCAUUCCCAUCGCCGGGCUUCAAAGACGAUCUGGCCACAGAUGCACCGUUAACCUGGAGAUUUAAACAAGGAAGCAGAAGCGUCAGAAAACCGUCCGUGUCUCUUUCAGACGCGACACCUGAGCAGAAGGUCACCAAGCAGAUGAACUGAAGAGGCAGGCCGUCCUCAUCCCAGCAUCUCUCCAUCACCGCCUGUCGAUUCUACCUAUAUUGUGUCCCACUUCAUAAUGGCUUCCAAGAGUAUUCAUUUGCUGAAGAGUCUCACAUACCUGGGAUUCGUGAGAGCGUCACUUCAGAUUCACUCUUUCUUCGGCACUCAUUCUGCACUUUAUUACACUGAAACGCUUCUGACCCUGGCUAUAAUUCCCAUUCUAUUUCAAGGAGAGCAUUGCAAUAAAGCACAAAUAUGGGGGGGAGUGAAAUCCAGUGGGGUCCUGGAUUGUGAAUGUCAGAGCGAGCAAACAGAGGGGGAUGGGCUGGAGAGAAGAAAGAGAAAAACCUAAAGAACAGAG
Cyprinus carpio carpio is the source of this 854-nucleotide long non-coding RNA. NCBI's taxonomy places the organism in Eukaryota, Metazoa, Chordata, Actinopteri, Cypriniformes, Cyprinidae. The record is from Ensembl.